GGACCGGCUAACUACGUGCCAGCAGCCGCGGUGAUACGUAGGGUCCGAGCGUUGUCCGGAAUUAUUGGGCGUAAAGGGCUUGUAGGCGGUUCGUCGCGUCAGGAGUGAAAACUCGGGGCUUAACCCCGAGCCUGCUUUUGAUACGGGCGGACUAGAGGGAUGCAGGGGAGAACGGAAUUCCUGGUGGAGCGGUGGAAUGCGCAGAUAUCAGGAGGAACACCGGUGGCGAAGGCGGUUCUCUGGGCAUCACCUGACGCUGAGAAGCGAAAGCGUGGGGAGCAAACAGGCUUAGAUACCCUGGUAGUCCACGCCGUAAACGGUGGGCACUAGGUGUGGGGGACAUUCCACGUUCUCCGUGCCGAAGCUAACGCAUUAAGUGCCCCGCCUGGGGAGUACGGCCGCA
Molecule: ribosomal RNA, 403 nt
Filed under: uncultured bacterium
Lineage: Bacteria
Description: bacterial SSU rRNA
Rfam family: Bacterial small subunit ribosomal RNA
Source: RNAcentral